AGUGAACGCUGGCGGUAGGCCUAACACAUGCAAGUCGAACGACAGCACAGUAAGAGCUUGCUCUUACGGGUGUCGCGUGGCGGACGGGUGAGGAAUACAUCGGAAACUACUUUUUCGUGGGGGAUAACGUAGGGAAACUUACGCUAAUACCGCAUACAACCUACGGGUGAAAGCACGGGAUCUUCUGACCUUUCGCGAUUGAAUGAGCCGAUGUCGGAUUAGCUAGAUGGCGGGGUAAAGGAGCACCAAGGCGACAAUCCGUAGCUGGUAUGAGAGGAUGAUUAGCCACCUGGGCACUGAGACUGGGUAGAGACACUGAGGGGAGGAAGCGGUGGGGAAUAUUGGACAAGGGGGGAAUGCGGAAUAUAGCAAUACCGCGUGGGGGAAGAAGGAGUUCUGGUUGUAAAGUGAUGAUGUCGUGAAAGAAAAGAAGCAGUUUAAUACGGGGUUGUAAUGACGGUACCGAAAGAAUAAGCACCGGCUAACUUCGUG
Molecule: ribosomal RNA, 492 nt
Filed under: uncultured bacterium
Lineage: Bacteria
Description: partial 16S ribosomal RNA
Rfam family: Bacterial small subunit ribosomal RNA
Source: RNAcentral